RNAcentral lists this long non-coding RNA (1680 nucleotides) under Sus scrofa (pig). RNAcentral describes it as "lncRNA (ENSSSCG00015079684.1)". Lineage: Eukaryota; Metazoa; Chordata; Mammalia; Artiodactyla; Suidae. The record is from RNAcentral.
GUUUUGUUUUGUUUUUGUUUUUUGCCAGCUGUAUGUCUUUUUUGGAGAAAGGUCUAUUAAGAUCUUCUGCCCAUUUUUUUGACUGGCUUGUUUGUCUUUUUGACAUUGAGCUGCAUGAGUUGUUGGUUUAUUUUGGAGAUUAAUUCCUUGUCAGUUGCCUCAUUUGCAAAGAUUUUCUCUCAUUCAGUGGGUAGCCUUUUCAUUUUGUUUAUGGUUUCCUUUGCUGUGCAAAAGCUUUUAAGUUUAAUUAGGUCACAUUUUGUUUAUUUUUUAGUUUAUCUUCAUUACUCUAGCAGGCUUAUGAAGAAAGAUUUUGCUGCAAUUUAUGUUGGAGAGUGUUUUGCCUAUGUUUUCCUCAACAGUUUUAUAUAAUUGGUCUUAUAUUUAGGUCUUUAAUCCAUUUUGAAUAUAUUUUUGUGCAUGGUGUUAGAGAGUACUCACAUCAUUCUGGUUUUACUGCACCAUUUAAUGAAGAAGCUGUCUUUUACCCAUUGUAUAUUCUUGCCUCCUUUGUUGUAGAUUAAUUGACCAUAGAUGUGUGGGUUUGUUUUUAUAAAUACCAUUAUUAUUAUUAUUAUUUUGCUUUUUAGGGCUGUGCCCACGACAUAUGGAGGUUCCCAGAAAAUACAAAAAGACAAUAAAUAAAUAAAUAAACAAACAAAAUACAAAAAGACAAUAAAUAAAUAAACAAACAAACAAACUAUAGUUUUGCUCUUGAUAAUGAUAAUCACACUUCAAAGAACUACAGUACCUGCAGUGUAGGAUGAGAAACAGCGAAUUAAGACCUGCCUUUUGCUCAUUUGGUUAUUCUUAAGAAUUUUAAGGAGAUCCUCAAUCUGACUUAAUGCUACUUUAUGUUUAUGGUAAUGGAGACACUAAACUAAGAAUGUUUGAAAAAGGGAGUAAUCUUGUAGGUACAGUAUGAUCUCAGCUUUCUAAACACAUUUUAUAUAUAGAUAGUACCAUGUAUUAAAAAUGUAAAGAAUAAAGAAAAUGCAUGAAAUCUUAACCAUGGUAAGAGGGGUUAUAUAUGAUUUUAGUUAUUUUUUGGACCCUUACAUGUUUUCUGAUUUUCUGCAAUUAUAUUACUUCCAUAAUUUAAAAAAUGAGUUUGAAAAAGAAACCUCUCCAGCAAGCGUCCUAUUUAUUUUUCUCAUCUUUAAAAUAUCAGUAUGCGAUUUUUAAAAAGUUUCUCUUGGGAGUUCCCGGCAUGGUUCAGUGGUUAACAAAUCCGACUAGGAACCAUGAGGUUGCAGGUUCAAUCCCUGGCCUUGCUCAGUGGGUUAACGAUCCGGCGUUGCCGUGAGCUGUGGUGUAGAUCGUAGACGCGGCUUGGAUCCCGCGUUGCUGUGGCUCUGGCAUAGGCCGGUGGCUACAGCUCCAAUUAGACUCCUAGCCUGGGAACCUCCAUAUGCUGUGGGAGUGGCCCAAGAAAUGGCAAAAAGACAAAAAAAAAAGUUUGCUUUGAAAAAAAUCAAAUAUAGGUCUUAGAAAAAUGUGCAUAAAAGAAUAGUUCACAAUCUUUGAGUAUGAGGAUCCUUCCUUAAUUUUAUAUUUUAAAAAGUAUACACAAUAUGAGUUCUCUUGUGAUGCAGUGCAUUAAAGACCCUGCAUUGUCAUUGCAGCUGAGGCUCACUUUCUAUCUCUAUCUAUCCCAGGAACACUUGGCAAGGUGUAGCC